Molecule: ribosomal RNA, 593 nt
Filed under: Alternaria sp. Utah 3
Lineage: Eukaryota; Fungi; Ascomycota; Dothideomycetes; Pleosporales; Pleosporaceae
Also listed under: 1 other name
Description: eukaryotic LSU rRNA
Rfam family: Eukaryotic large subunit ribosomal RNA
Source: RNAcentral
CUUUUGACCUCGGAUCAGGUAGGGAUACCCGCUGAACUUAAGCAUAUCAAUAAGCGGAGGAAAAGAAACCAACAGGGAUUGCCCUAGUAACGGCGAGUGAAGCGGCAACAGCUCAAAUUUGAAAUCUGGCUCUUUUAGAGUCCGAGUUGUAAUUUGCAGAGGGCGCUUUGGCUUUGGCAGCGGUCCAAGUUCCUUGGAACAGGACGUCACAGAGGGUGAGAAUCCCGUACGUGGUCGCUGGCUAUUGCCGUGUAAAGCCCCUUCGACGAGUCGAGUUGUUUGGGAAUGCAGCUCUAAAUGGGAGGUACAUUUCUUCUAAAGCUAAAUAUUGGCCAGAGACCGAUAGCGCACAAGUAGAGUGAUCGAAAGAUGAAAAGCACUUUGGAAAGAGAGUCAAACAGCACGUGAAAUUGUUGAAAGGGAAGCGCUUGCAGCCAGACUUGCUUACAGUUGCUCAUCCGGGUUUCUACCCGGUGCACUCUUCUGUAGGCAGGCCAGCAUCAGUUUGGGCGGUAGGAUAAAGGUCUCUGUCACGUACCUCCUUUCGGGGAGGCCUUAUAGGGGAGACGACAUACUACCAGCCUGGACUGAGG